This 75-nucleotide transfer RNA is filed under the name Mycoplasma suis KI3806. Its description in RNAcentral is "tRNA-Val (TAC) (tRNA-Val-TAC-1-1)". It matches the Rfam family "tRNA". Rfam says of the family: Transfer RNA (tRNA) molecules are approximately 80 nucleotides in length. Their secondary structure includes four short double-helical elements and three loops (D, anti-codon, and T loops). The record is from RNAcentral. RNAcentral also lists the same sequence under 2 other names. Lineage: Bacteria; Bacillati; Mycoplasmatota; Mollicutes; Mycoplasmatales; Mycoplasmataceae.
GGAAUGUUAGCUCAGCGGGAGAGCAACUGCCUUACAAGCAGUAGGUCAGGGGUUCAAAUCCCUUACAUUCCACCA